Molecule: long non-coding RNA, 2035 nt
Organism: Vicia villosa (hairy vetch)
Lineage: Eukaryota; Viridiplantae; Streptophyta; Magnoliopsida; Fabales; Fabaceae
Exons: 6
Source: RefSeq, a predicted model, not a curated record
GUUGUUGCCAGGAACUUUUAGGAAGACACAAUCACUAACCUUUGCAUCAAAUUCGGUUGAAGUUGUUCAUAAUGGUGUGGCUUUGCAUUGCUAGUCAUCUCCCUCCAAUAUUGGCUUCAUGGUGCUUGUUCAAUAGAAGGUCCAAAAGUCGCAGAAAAAUUGAAAGGAGUAAAAGGUUUGAUAACAGCAAACAGAGACAAGGACAAAGAUAAAGAUAAAGAUAAGAAGAAAUCAAUUUCUCGUUCUUCUCGUGCUGGUUUGCAGUAACUUAUAUAGGAGCUACAAUGGAAAUGGAAAUUCUUGUGCAUCAAACAUGGAUGUAUAAUAGGCUUCUCCCUAGCCGGAGCGGACAUACAUAUGAAUUUUUAAAAGGAGUUGAAGAGUUUAUAACCUUUGCUUGUCAACAAAAGGAGUAUUUGAAGGAUGGUGUAAUAAGAUAUCCAUGUAAAAAGUGCAAAAACAAGGACCACCUCAGCCCGGAUGAAGCAAACAGUCAUAUUCAUCAACAUGGGUUUACACCGGAAUAUUGGAAUUGGACAUGCCAUGGAGAUAUAAUUCCUCACAUCAAUGAUAGUGACAAUGAUGAUAUAGAUAUGGUAGCACCUUGUAGUAGUAGUCAAUAGUGGAGUUAUGAACAUGUUCAUAGAUACCAAGACAUGGUGUUUGAUGCUGUUGGUUUUAAUCGCGAGCAACAUUUUGUACAACAUGAAGAGGAACCUUCAAACAUGGAAGCAAAUUUUUUUAUGACAUGUUGAAUUCAACUCAGCAACCAUUGUGGUCGGGAUGUAAAAACACAACAGAGUUAUCUGCUGCUAGUAAGAUGUUGAGUUUAAAAUCUAAACACAACAUGUCACUGGCAUGUUUCGAUGAUAUGGUGAAGUUUAUGAAGGAAUCAAGCCACUCAAAGAAUGUAAUUCCCUCUAAAUUUAGGGAAACAAAAAAACUUGUGGAUGGACUUAGUUUAUCAAGGAUAAAGAUAGAUUGUUGCAUUGGUGGGUGUAUGUUGUAUUACAAAGAGGACAUAAAUUUAAAGGAAUGCAAGUUUUGCAAUGAGCCUCGAUACAAAACAUGUAUUAUGUGUAAGCGUAAGCGAAGGAUGUAUAUUUGAAGGAUGUAUAACAUGGUUUUUUUAAUACAAAAAAAGUUUACAUGGCCACCAGAACACAAAGUUACGGUGUGAUGUAACUUUGAAAGAAGAGGUGCCGCUAAGAUGUCUCGGCUACUACAAGAUGUUCGCAAAGACUUGGAGUACAGACCGGGUUGGAUGGGAGAUGAUGUGUGGCAGCAAUUAUCGGUACAUUGGAAUUCGUUAAAGUUCAAAAAAGCAUCUGAAACGAAUAAAAGAAACCGGUCUUCUAUGGAUGGCACAUCUCUUCACAAUGGAGGGUCUAUUCCUCAUCGUUUGCAUUGGAAAAGAAUGAGAAAGGAAAAGGGUGCAGAUCCAUCAUUGACCGAGUUCUAUUUUCGCACACAUCGGAAAAAAGGGUCAAAGUUGUGUACAAGUUCAUGUUGAAUCUGCAUAUGAUAAGUUUGAACCAAAAAAGUUGGAGAUUUCUUCUCAGAAUCCAACUAUUCCAGGAGAGGACGAAGCUGAUAGUCAACCAACUAUUGAAAUGCCACCUGAUUUGGAUAUAUGGGUAGAGUCAGUUGGAAAGAAGAAAGGGAGGGUAUUUGGUCUUGGAACCGCUUCUAUGACUUUGGUUUCAGUAUCAAAGAAAACCUCAAGUCUUUCAAGCGACUCUCAAGAGCUUGAUGUUUUGAGAAGUCAAGUCCAUGCUUUAAAUGCACCGUUGCAAAGACAAGAAGAAAAGCUGGGGAUGGGGCAACAAUUGCAUCGACAAUAAAAGAGAUGGUUGAAUCGAAUAAUAAAAUUUCAUUUUUAAUGAAUCAUUUAGGAUUUGUUGGGUCUUCUUCGCAUCCACCACAACCCACUAAUGAAAGUGAUCACACAAAUGAAAAUGGCGUCGAUGAAUCAAAUGAAGAAGACCUCAGUAAUGAAUUUUGAUUUGUACUUUUUUUCUUUUUGACUUGGUUG